GACGAACGCUGGCGGCGUGCUUAACACAUGCAAGUCGAACGGAAAGGCCCUGCUUUUGUGGGGUGCUCGAGUGGCGAACGGGUGAGUAACACGUGAGUAACCUGCCCUUGACUUUGGGAUAACUUCAGGAAACUGGGGCUAAUACCGGAUAGGAGCUCCUGCUGCAUGGUGGGGGUUGGAAAGUUUCGGCGGUUGGGGAUGGACUCGCGGCUUAUCAGCUUGUUGGUGGGGUAGUGGCUUACCAAGGCCUUGACGGGUAGCCGGCCUGAGAGGGUGACCGGCCACAUUGGGACUGAGAUACGGCCAAGACUCCUACGGGAGGCAGCAGUGGGGGAUAUUGCACAAUGGGCGGAAGCCUGAUGCAGCAACGCCGCGUGCGGGAUGACGGCCUUCGGGUUGUAAACCGCUUUCGCCUGUGACGAAGCGUGAGUGACGGUAACGGGUAAAGAAGCACCGGCUAACUACGUG
Molecule: ribosomal RNA, 468 nt
Filed under: uncultured bacterium
Lineage: Bacteria
Description: partial 16S ribosomal RNA
Rfam family: Bacterial small subunit ribosomal RNA
Source: RNAcentral